UAGAUGGGGAGAUAGCGGUGCCCUAUUCUCGCAAUCCGCUUCAGCGAGGUCGAAUGCCUAUUGCGGUGGUAUUGGUUGUGUGUUGAGUAAGAUGCUUAUGUGUUGAAGUUAGGGUCUUGUGCAAUAUUGAGCUAUGAAACAUGUCAGGGACGGGAGUCAGCAGCAUUAAAUGGAUUUCAAUAUGUGAUACAAGGUCGCUCUAAUGGAGCAUAAACCUCUUAUGCC
Molecule: signal recognition particle RNA, 225 nt
Filed under: bovine gut metagenome
Description: Bacterial large signal recognition particle RNA
Rfam family: Bacterial large signal recognition particle RNA
About the family: The signal recognition particle (SRP) is a universally conserved ribonucleoprotein involved in the co-translational targeting of proteins to membranes.
Source: RNAcentral